RNAcentral lists this ribosomal RNA (1485 nucleotides) under uncultured Bordetella sp. Its description in RNAcentral is "partial 16S-23S ribosomal RNA intergenic spacer". It matches the Rfam family "Bacterial small subunit ribosomal RNA". The record is from RNAcentral. Lineage: Bacteria; Pseudomonadati; Pseudomonadota; Betaproteobacteria; Burkholderiales; Alcaligenaceae.
CUGAUUAUGGCUCAAGGAUUGAACGCUGGCGUGAUGCUUUACACAUGCAAGUCGAACGGCAGCACGGACUUCGGUCUGGUGGCGAGUGGCGAACGGGUGAGUAAUGUAUCGAACGCGCCUAGUAGCGGGGGAUAACUACGCGAAAGCGUAGCUAAUACCGCAUACGCCCUUCGGGGGAAAGCGGGGACCUUCGGGCCUCGCACUAUUAGAGCGGCUGAUAUCGGAUUAGCUAGUUGGUGGGGUAACGGCUCACCAAGGCGACGAUCCGUAGCUGGUUUGAGAGGACGACCAGCCACACUGGGACUGAGACACGGCCCAGACUCCUACGGGAGGCAGCAGUGGGGAAUUUUGACAAUGGGGGAAACCCCGAUCCAGCCAUCCCGCGUGUGCGAUGGCUACCUUCGGGUUGUAAAGAAUUUUUGGCAGGAAAGAAACGGCACGGGAUAAUACCCCGUGCAACUGACGGUACCUGCAGAAUAAGCACCGCUAACUACGUGCCAGCAGCCGGCGGUAAUACGUAGGGUGCAAGCGUUAAUCGGAAUUACUGGGCGUAAAGCGUGCGCAGGCGGUUCGGAAAGAAAGAUGUGAAAUCCCAGAGCUUAACUUUGGAACUGCAUUUUUAACUACCGAGCUAGGAGUGUGUCAGAGGGAGUGUGAAUUCCGCGUGUAGCAGUGAAAUGCGUAGAUAUGCGGAGGAACACCGAUGGCGAAGGCAGCCUCCUGGGAUAACACUUACGCUCAUGCACGAAAGCGUGGGGAGCAAACAGGAUUAGAUACCCUGGUAGUCCACGCCCUAAACGAUGUCAACUAGCUGUUGGGGCCUUUCGGGCCUUGGUAGCGCAGCUAACGCGAAGUUGACCGCCUGGGGAGUACGGUCGCAAGAUUAAAACCCAAAGGAAUUGACGGGGACCCGCACAAGCGGUGGAUGACGUGGAUUAAUCUGAUGCAACGCGAAAAACCUUACCUACCCUUGACAUGUCUGGAAUCCCGAAGAGAUUUGGGAGUGCUCGCAAGAGAACCGGAACACAGGUGCUGCAUGGCUGUCGUCAGCUCUCGUGUCGUGAGAUGUUGGGUUAAGUCCUGCAAAUGAGCAGCAAACCUCAUUACGGGUUGCUACGAAAGGCACUCAACGAGACUGCCGGUGACAAACCGGAGGAAGGUGGGGAUGACGUCAAGUCCUCAUGGCCCUUAUGGGUAGGGCUUCACACGUCAUACAAUGGUCGGGACAGAGGGUCGCCAACCCGCGAGGGGAGCCAAUCCCAGAAACCCGAUCGUAGUCCUGGAUCGCAGUCUGCAACUCGACUACCGCGUGGUCGGAAUCGCUAGUAAUCGCGGAUCAGCAUGUCGCGGUGAAUACGUUCCCGGGUCUUGUACACACCGCCCGUCACACCAUGGAGUGGGUUUUACCAGAAGUAGUUAGCCUAACCGUAAGGAGGGUGAUUACCACGGUAGGAUUCAUGACUGGGUGAAGUCGUAACAAGGUAG